UUGAACGCUGGCGGCGUGCCUAACACAUGCAAGUCGAGCGGUAACAGGUGUAGCAAUACAUGCUGACGAGCGGCGGACGGGUGAGUAACGCUUGGGAAUCUGCCUGUUAGUGGGGGACAACCCGGGGAAACUCGGGCUAAUACCGCAUACGCACUACGGUGGAAAGCCGGGGACCGCAAGGCCUGGCGCUAACAGAUGAGCCCAAGUCGGAUUAGCUAGUUGGUAGGUAACGGCCACCAAGGCGACGAUCCGUAACUGGUCUGAGAGGACGACCAGUCACACCGGAACUGAGACACGGUCCGGACUCCUACGGGAGGCAGCAGUGGGGAAUAUUGGACAAUGGGCGAAAGCCUGAUCCAGCGAUGCCGCGUGUGUGAAGAAGGCCUGCGGGUUGUAAAGCACUUUC
Molecule: ribosomal RNA, 406 nt
Filed under: uncultured bacterium
Lineage: Bacteria
Description: bacterial SSU rRNA
Rfam family: Bacterial small subunit ribosomal RNA
Source: RNAcentral